This 450-nucleotide ribosomal RNA is filed under the name uncultured bacterium. Its description in RNAcentral is "partial 16S ribosomal RNA". It matches the Rfam family "Bacterial small subunit ribosomal RNA", at positions 354 to 796 of the family's 1533-position model. The record is from RNAcentral.
GUGGGGAAUCUUCCACAAUGGACGAAAGUCUGAUGGAGCAACGCCGCGUGAGUGAAGAAGGGUUUCGGCUCGUAAAGCUCUGUUGUCGGGGACGAAUGUGCAGUAUUUGAAUAAAGUACUGUAAUGACGGUACCUGACGAGGAAGCCACGGCUAACUACGUGCCAGCAGCCGCGGUAAUACGUAGGUGGCAAGCGUUGUACGGAAUUAUUGGGCGUAAAGGGAGCGCAGGCGGGAAGGUAAGUCGGUCUUAAAAGUGCGGGGCUCAACCCCGUGAUGGGUUCGAAACUAUCUUUCUUGAGUGCAGGAGAGGAAAGUGGAAUUCCUAGUGUAGCGGUGAAAUGCGUAGAUAUUAGGAGGAACACCAGUGGCGAAGGCGACUUUCUGGACUGUAACUGACGCUGAGGCUCGAAAGCCAGGGGAGCGAACGGGAUUAGAUACCCUUGUAGUCC